RNAcentral lists this long non-coding RNA (210 nucleotides) under Lathyrus oleraceus (garden pea). RNAcentral describes it as "Pisum sativum (pea) long non-coding RNA (PSAT_LNC035275)". The record is from RNAcentral. Lineage: Eukaryota; Viridiplantae; Streptophyta; Magnoliopsida; Fabales; Fabaceae.
UUCACACAGAAGAAAAGACGAUCCGUCGGAGUAAUACACUCACCAGGAACAGAGACUCUAACAGGACUCUCAUUGGGGAUUCUUAUAGGGGAUAAUAAAAGAAAAAAGAAAAAAAAAAGAAUGCGUGAGCAUGUCACGACUCGAGUUGGGGAAAACAAAACUGACAUAAUGUGUGCAAGACACGACUCUGAUUAGGGGAUAACAGAAAUC